Long non-coding RNA from Austrofundulus limnaeus, 1246 nucleotides. RefSeq lists it as uncharacterized. Lineage: Eukaryota; Metazoa; Chordata; Actinopteri; Cyprinodontiformes; Rivulidae. The record is from RefSeq and is a predicted model, not a curated record. The transcript has 17 exons.
AUGGCGCCUUUUCGAUCUUCCACUUUUUCCUGCUUCGUGGAAGAGACUGGAAACGUGCAAACAAGCGUUAAUAAAGGUGUAAAGACUGACACUCCAUGAGAUGUCUAAGGCGAAAAAGAAGACUGGAAAGCAGCAGGAUGACCUCAUUGUGCUGUCUGCAAACAAUAUGACGCUGGAGAAAUAAAAAGGUGGAAGCUGAAGGAGAUGCUUCCUGAUCAUGUGAGUGUCGCUGCAGAAGAAUCCACAUCAAACAUGGGCCCGUUCAGUGAGACUUCUGGAUUUUCCUCCCUGAAUAAAAAAAAAAACUCAAGUGUUCGGCUGCAGACACACGAUGGAGCGUUUGAAGACUCCUGCCGUCGUCACGUCGCUGCUGUCCAUCCAGAAGUUCCUGCUUCCUGUAAAACGAGAGGAAAGGUGUGGCUGUGCAGUUCAGGUUCUUCUGUCCAAACCUGACCUCACUGGACUGCAUUAGGACUGGCAGAAGAUGACAGUGAUUAAAGAUUAAAACACAAACUGUUGGUUUGAAGGUUUUCCUGCUGCAGUGAGAAUCCUGAGAGGCUCAUGGCUAAAACUCAGACUGACGAGUGAAGAUCGUCACAGUUCCUGUUGCUUCCUGUAAAUGAGAGGAAAGGUGUGGCUGUGCAGUUCAGGUUCUGUCCAAACCUGACCUCACUGGACUGCAUUAGGACUGGUAAAGAAAUGGAUUUAUUUUUUAUUUGUUAGUUAAAUUUAGCAAGGCCCAGUUGUUGCUGGGAUUGUGAAAUGAUGAGUUGCAGUAGCAGUCAUGGGAUUGACCCAUCCCAUUCUCAGCUGCUGCUCCCUCCUGUUGACCCAGUACGGCACUGAGAACCCUGUCCAUCAGGUGUAAGGUGACCUGCUGGGCUCUGAUGGAGACCAGGAUCUGGCUGAGUGUCUGACUGACAACAAUUGCUGAUAACAACCCAGACCUGAGAUUCUGUAGAACCUCUGAAGACUGAAACUUUAAUAACUUUAAUUUAAUAAUACUCUUGUUAAUAAAUGUAAACAUUUGAUCUUAACAGGCAGAAGACGACAGUGAUUAAAGAUUAAAACAAACUGUUGUUGUGGUUCAGGGUUCUCACUGCAGCAGAAAGACCUAAGAGGCUCAUGGCUAAAACUCACUGAUGUCUGAAGAUCAUCAGUUCUGCUGUCGUCCAGUGGUGACAAGUUUUUCUGCUGUUUUACUUUAAAGGAUGUGUAACUAAACUUAAUAAAAUAUAUAAACACA